GGGGCCGUCACGGUUUCGACGGGGGAAUGUUCGGCUUAGACAGCAGCAAGGUGGCGACUUACCGCCAAAAAACAAUAACUGACAACAACACUGUCAAACCUUGGAUGCUUGGUGCCAACCAGGCAGCCUUCGCUCGCGCCUAAUUUAGAGCACCUAUAAGGUUCCGCGCAUCGCGGACGAGCACGUCACCCUCUGCGUUCGCGUUUUGGCAGAGGCUUGGCGCAACCAAAAGACGAUAAGCUUGCGCAUUGGCUGGUGCGCGUAGACGAAAACUUCACAGCCGCGUCACGGACAAUACUGGGCCCCAUCAAUGCCCGUGACUACUAGAUGAGGCCUAAGCUGUAGAUGUCUUUGAUGAAGGUCCCUCGGACCGGGGUUCAAUUCCCCGCGACUCCACCA
This 399-nucleotide transfer-messenger RNA is filed under the name Bacilli. RNAcentral's name for it is "Enteromonas sp902803375 Standard tmRNA". It matches the Rfam family "transfer-messenger RNA". From Rfam's summary of the family: Bacterial tmRNA, also known as 10Sa RNA or SsrA, is named for its dual tRNA and mRNA-like properties. Its role is to liberate the mRNA from a stalled ribosome. Lineage: Bacteria; Bacillati; Bacillota. The record is from RNAcentral. RNAcentral also lists the same sequence under 1 other name.